GCAGGGAUGGUGUAACAGGCAACAGCUCGAUCUCCAAAAUCGAUAUUCUAGGUUCAAAUCCUAGUCCCUGCG
This 72-nucleotide transfer RNA is filed under the name Planktothrix sp. FACHB-1355. RNAcentral describes it as "tRNA-Trp". It matches the Rfam family "tRNA". Rfam says of the family: Transfer RNA (tRNA) molecules are approximately 80 nucleotides in length. Their secondary structure includes four short double-helical elements and three loops (D, anti-codon, and T loops). RNAcentral also lists the same sequence under 1 other name. The record is from RNAcentral. Lineage: Bacteria; Bacillati; Cyanobacteriota; Cyanophyceae; Oscillatoriales; Microcoleaceae.